RNAcentral lists this small RNA (931 nucleotides) under Drosophila ananassae. RNAcentral's name for it is "GF26434". Lineage: Eukaryota; Metazoa; Arthropoda; Insecta; Diptera; Drosophilidae. The record is from RNAcentral.
UUCAAAUAAAUUAUUUAACUAAACUUUCACUUUCCAGUUGGAAUAUCAAUCAUCUUCAUAUGAAUAAACCUUUUUUUCGGGCCUGGUCUUGACCACCAAGUGAUUGCGGCUCUAAUUAAAUGUGUCCUCAAGCGUCUGAUUAAUUGUGCCGUUAGCGCCGAAAUGAGAUCAUGGCCAAAACGAGAAGAUGGUGGUCUGUGGAGACACACUGUCCUUUGGCCAAGGACCAGGCAUUUUUUUCCCCUUCGAGCCGAAUGUGUGAGUUAGGGCUUUGGACCUCAACUGUCACAACAUCAAAGUGACAAUUUGAGUGACUUUUCCCCAGAAUGGCUAAUUUAAAAUGCGCUGAAACAAAAGGACACUUAGGCUGCUGCUGGCAGGACAAUGGACAGGACAUGCUGACGGGUCGCUCCUCUCCGUAAACCUUUCCGUAACUCCCCAUGCUGGGCACAUAUACAACAUAUAUUUUUAUAAUUUAUCUAUUAUGCAUAAGGGCGCUGGGCAAAGCCAAAGGGUUUUGGCUGUCAUCAUACUCCAGCCCAUCAAGGACGAAGAGUGACACAUGAGGCGAGGUCCUUUUGGUCCUUUCACCACGCUGAGCUGACCAACAACUCGGUGAAAAGUUUCUGGCCUGACUCUUGCAUUAGCCGCGAAUUAAAAAUGCACAGAAAAAGGAUCAAGGAGCAGGGCUGGGCGAAACGAUUUACCUGCUCGGGCGGACACCCUUUCACCCACCGCCCGCCCAACCACCCCCUGGUCCACCCCUCCCCAUUGUUUCGUCCGGCACUUGUCGUGGCCUGUCACAAAAGUGUCACUCAAAUGUAAUUAACACCGGAGACGGAGGACUAAAGUGGCUCAAUGUCAGUUGGGAUGAGAACUUUUACCAUUUUUCAUCCGAAAGUUUACUUUUCAGCGGGAAACGUGCCUACCU